This 318-nucleotide ribosomal RNA is filed under the name uncultured bacterium. Its description in RNAcentral is "bacterial SSU rRNA". It matches the Rfam family "Bacterial small subunit ribosomal RNA", at positions 29 to 375 of the family's 1533-position model. The record is from RNAcentral.
AACGAACGCUGGCGGCAUGCCUAACACAUGCAAGUCGAACGAGACCUUCGGGUCUAGUGGCGCACGGGUGCGUAACGCGUGGGAAUCUGCCCUUGGGUUCGGAAUAACAGUUGGAAACGACUGCUAAUACCGGAUGAUGACGUAAGUCCAAAGAUUUAUCGCCCAAGGAUGAGCCCGCGUAGGAUUAGCUAGUUGGUGAGGUAAAGGCUCACCAAGGGCGACGAUCCUUAGCUGGUCUGAGAGGAUGAUCAGCCACACUGGGACUGAGCACGGCCCAGACUCCUACGGGAGGCAGCAGUGGGAAUAUUGGACAAUGGG